GUGGGUUGCUACAGAAGUCGGUGCGCCAACCGCAAGGAGGCAGCCGCCUAAGAAGUGGCUCAUGACUGGGGUGAAGUCGUAACAAGGUAGCCGUAGGUGAACCUGCAGAAGGAUCA
RNAcentral lists this ribosomal RNA (116 nucleotides) under uncultured eukaryote. Its description in RNAcentral is "partial small subunit ribosomal RNA". It matches the Rfam family "Bacterial small subunit ribosomal RNA", at positions 1410 to 1525 of the family's 1533-position model. The record is from RNAcentral.